UGGGAGAUCCUUUGGAGGCCUGGCUGU
This 27-nucleotide non-coding RNA is filed under the name Rattus norvegicus (Norway rat). The record is from RNAcentral. Lineage: Eukaryota; Metazoa; Chordata; Mammalia; Rodentia; Muridae.